ACUGGACUCAGAGUAAUUUUGUUUGUUAAAAUUUUCAAAUUUCAAAAUUUCCUUACAGAACAUGAUUUAUACUUUGAAGAAAAUUACACAAAGACACAAUUAUUAGAAGUGUUACAUACUCGAAAAUUUGAGAAACAAUAUAAAAUAGAUGCUAUGGCGCGAGAUCGUGGAUUUAGGCCCUGCACAAGAGCGGUACAACCCCACCACCCACCCUUCGACGGCACCGGGGUGGUACGGACCCGGACGACAGAACGCACCUCGCAGUACACGCGAUCGGUCGACAAACUGUACAUACAUUUACACACUAUUAAUAUAUAGUUAUAAAACAA
This is a long non-coding RNA of Zophobas morio, 329 nucleotides long. RefSeq lists it as uncharacterized. The record is from RefSeq and is a predicted model, not a curated record. The transcript is spliced from 2 exons. NCBI's taxonomy places the organism in Eukaryota, Metazoa, Arthropoda, Insecta, Coleoptera, Tenebrionidae.